UGAGGGAUUUUGCGCAAUGGAGGAAACUCUGACGCAGCGACGCCGCGUGCGGGACGAAGCCUUUCGGGGUGUAAACCGCUGUCAGUGGGGAAGAGAAUGGACGGUACCCACUGAGGAAGCCUCGGCUAACUACGUGCCAGCAGCCGCGGUAAGACGUAGGGGGCGAGCGUUGUCCGGAAUCACUGGGCGUAAAGAGCUCGUAGGCGGGACUGUUAGUCCUGGAGUAAAUCCAACUGCUUAACGGUUGGUUCUUCCGGGAAACGGCAGUUCUUGAGGACAGGAGAGGAAAGCGGAAUUCCGAGUGUAGCGGUGAAAUGCGUAGAGAUUCGGAGGAACACCAGUGGCGAAGGCGGCUUUCUGGCCUGAUUCUGACGCUGAGGAGCGAAAGCGUGGGGAGCAAACAG
RNAcentral lists this ribosomal RNA (404 nucleotides) under uncultured bacterium. RNAcentral describes it as "bacterial SSU rRNA". It matches the Rfam family "Bacterial small subunit ribosomal RNA", at positions 355 to 775 of the family's 1533-position model. The record is from RNAcentral.